Molecule: ribosomal RNA, 517 nt
Filed under: uncultured bacterium
Lineage: Bacteria
Description: bacterial SSU rRNA
Rfam family: Bacterial small subunit ribosomal RNA
Source: RNAcentral
AUUGAACGCUGGCGGCGUGCUUAACACAUGCAAGUCGAGCGGUAACGCGGGGGCAACCCUGGCGACGAGCGGCGAACGGGUGCGUAAUACAUGGGAAUCUGCCUGAUAGUGGGGAAUAACCCGGGGAAACUCGGGCUAAUGCCGCAUACGACCUACGGGUGAAAGCGGGGGACCGAAAGGCCUCGCGCUAUCGGAUGGGCCCAUGUCGGAUUAGCUAGUUGGUGGGGUAACGGCCCACCAAGGCGACGAUCCGUAGCUGGUCUGAGAGGACGGCCAGCCACACUGGGACUGAGACACGGCCCAGACUCCUACGGGAGGCAGCAGUGGGGAAUAUUGGACAAUGGGGGAAACCCUGAUCCAGCGACGCCGCGUGUGUGAAGAAGGCCUGCGGGUUGUAAAGCACUUUCGGUGGGAACGAAAUAUGCCGGGCCAAUACCCCGGCAGGCUGACCGUUACCCCAAUGAACGAAGCACCGGCUAACUCUGUGCCAGCACGCCGGACGGUAAACUAGUCUACG